RNAcentral lists this non-coding RNA (48 nucleotides) under Enterobacter cloacae. RNAcentral's name for it is "Guanidine-II sequence". It matches the Rfam family "Guanidine-II riboswitch aptamer (mini-ykkC)". Rfam says of the family: Simpler in structure and has fewer highly conserved nucleotide positions than the ykkC-yxkD leader. Despite this each of its two stem-loop structures directly bind free guanidine. Lineage: Bacteria; Pseudomonadati; Pseudomonadota; Gammaproteobacteria; Enterobacterales; Enterobacteriaceae. The record is from RNAcentral.
CUGGCGGGACGACCCGACAGCGUCAAUUUUAAUUCGGGGACGGCCCCG